This 312-nucleotide ribosomal RNA is filed under the name uncultured bacterium. RNAcentral describes it as "bacterial SSU rRNA". It matches the Rfam family "Bacterial small subunit ribosomal RNA", at positions 28 to 337 of the family's 1533-position model. The record is from RNAcentral.
GACGAACGCUGGCGGCGUGCAUAACACAUGCAAGUCGAGCGGUAAGGCCCUUUCGGGGGUACACGAGCGGCGAACGGGUGAGUAACACGUGGGUGACCUGCCCUCAGCUCUGGGAUAAGCCGUGGGAAACCGGGUCUAAUACUGGAUAUGACUCCAUGACGCAUGUUGGUGGGGUGGAAAGCCUUGUGCAGCUGAGGAGUCGGGCCCGCGGCCUAUCAGUCUUGUUGGGGGGUGAUGGCCUACCAAGGCGACGACGGGUAGCCGGCCUGAGAGGGCGACCGGCCACACUGGGACUGAGACACGGCCCAGACU